CAGAACGUCGUGAGACAGUUCGGUCUCUAUCCGCCGCGCGCGUUGAAACUUGAAGAAAGCUGUCCCUAGUACGAGAGGACCGGGACGGACGUACCUCUAGUGUGCCAGUUAUCCCGCCAGGGGUAUCGCUGGUUGGCUACGUACGGAAGGGAUAACCGCUGAAAGCAUCUAAGCGGGAAGCCUGUUUUAAGAUGAGGUUUCGUUAAGGUCCCCUAAAGACGAUAGGGUAGAUAGGCCAGACCUGGACGCACUGCAAGGUGUGAAGGCUACUGGUACUAAUUGACCACAACAAACACCAA
This 299-nucleotide ribosomal RNA is filed under the name Corynebacterium evansiae. RNAcentral's name for it is "Corynebacterium sp. c8Ua_174 partial 23S ribosomal RNA". It matches the Rfam family "Bacterial large subunit ribosomal RNA", at positions 2612 to 2925 of the family's 2925-position model. Lineage: Bacteria; Bacillati; Actinomycetota; Actinomycetes; Mycobacteriales; Corynebacteriaceae. The record is from RNAcentral.